This is a long non-coding RNA of Myotis lucifugus (little brown bat), 149 nucleotides long. RefSeq lists it as uncharacterized. The record is from RefSeq and is a predicted model, not a curated record. NCBI's taxonomy places the organism in Eukaryota, Metazoa, Chordata, Mammalia, Chiroptera, Vespertilionidae. The transcript is spliced from 2 exons.
UCCCAGAAGUGGCUCCAUGUCAGAAAGCCCACCAUCCGCUCCGGGAAGCUCUGCCACACCACGAAAGCAAAGUCCACCUGGGAGAUAGCAUCAAGUCCAGGGCCUGGUGCUCAGAAAGUGACUGCUGGGUGAAUAAAUGAGUGAACACA